This 98-nucleotide transfer RNA is filed under the name Ralstonia mannitolilytica. Its description in RNAcentral is "tRNA-Cys". Lineage: Bacteria; Pseudomonadati; Pseudomonadota; Betaproteobacteria; Burkholderiales; Burkholderiaceae. The record is from RNAcentral.
UGGCAGGUGGGCAGCGCAGGUGCGCUCGAGCGGCUGCAGGCCGCACUGGCCGCGCCGGUGGCCGUGCCGUCUGCGGGCUCCGCGCCGGCCGUGCCUGC